This 464-nucleotide ribosomal RNA is filed under the name uncultured bacterium. Its description in RNAcentral is "partial 16S ribosomal RNA". It matches the Rfam family "Bacterial small subunit ribosomal RNA", at positions 339 to 795 of the family's 1533-position model. The record is from RNAcentral.
CUACGGGUCGCUGCAGUGGGGAAUAUUGCACAAUGGGCGCAAGCCUGAUGCAGCCAUGCCGCGUGUAUGAAGAAGGCCUUCGGGUUGUAAAGUACUUUCAGCGGGGAGGAAGGGAGUAAAGUUAAUACCUUUGCUCAUUGACGUUACCCGCAGAAGAAGCACCGGCUAACUCCGUGCCAGCAGCCGCGGUAAUACGGAGGGUGCAAGCGUUAAUCGGAAUUACUGGGCGUAAAGCGCACGCAGGCGGUUUGUUAAGUCAGAUGUGAAAUCCCCGGGCUCAACCUAGGAACUGCAUCUGAUACUGGCAAGCUUGAGUCUCGUAGAGGGAGGUAGAAUUCCAGGUGUAGCGGUGACAUGCGUAGAGAUCUGGAGGAAUACCGGUGGCGAAGGCGGCCCCCUGGACGAAGACUGACGAUCAGGUGCGAAAGCGUGGGGAGCAAACAGGAUUAGAUUCCCCAGUAGUC